RNAcentral lists this ribosomal RNA (1839 nucleotides) under Triticum aestivum (bread wheat). RNAcentral's name for it is "partial small subunit ribosomal RNA". Lineage: Eukaryota; Viridiplantae; Streptophyta; Magnoliopsida; Poales; Poaceae. The record is from RNAcentral.
AUGAAUCAUCAAGACGGCACUGAUCCUUGGUUUUCGCAAAGGCCGCAAGCGCCUCCUUGGAAAGCAGCAGAGUACAAUCAACUCAUUUCCGCAGGGCCGUUGCUGCCACUACUAGAGCAGUACGCGAACAUCGGUUCUUAUGACACAACCACACACACGGGGAUACCAUGGCAAGUUCCUACACAUGGCGCUAACGCUGAUAGAUGUUGUUAUGGUGGAACCACAGCAGCAAAUGUAUCGUGGCAAGCUUCGUCGUUGCAGGCCAUCGCUGUUGCAGAUAGAGCACAACAAAUUGAAGUGACAGACCAGCUUCGGUUAGCACAUGCGGCACAACAAGGAGCUUCAACUACAAUCAACAGCGGCACGGGGACAUCUACUGCGGGAACCUCGGAGCACAUGGAAGGAGCUUUCCACAAGCAAGUCACCAAUGCUGCCACAAACAAUGCAGAAUCAGUGUCAGAACUGGCAAUCGUUGCAGCAAUGAUGACAAGCACGCCUGUGCACACCAGCACAAGCAACACUCAGGCAGAUGAAACAGCCACCAAUACUGAAGUGAAUGAUGAAACUGAUGACGAAGCGCAAGGGGAAGAAGAAGAUGUGCAUUUGGUAAUCAUAGUACCUCAACCCCCAUAUGUUGGGAAGAGAUUUGGUUCUUUUGAAGAUGCCAAGGAAUUCUACCAGAGAUAUGCAAUGUUCCAUGGAGGUGAGAUAAGGUGCUACAAGGCACGAAGGAACAAGAAGGGUAAAUGUGUUGUGCCUGCCGUGCCGGAAGGAAAGAGAGGUAUCAUUGUCAAGACGGAAUGCCAUGUCCGAUGUAAGCUAAACGCAGAUGGAGCAUGGUGGGUGGUCACCGAAUAUUUCGACGAACACAACCACGAACUCAUAAAGAAGUUUGACCUGGUAAAAUUUCUGAGCGCCCAUAGAGGAUUCAGCCCCCUCGAGAAGAAAUUCAUAAAGUUGCUGCAUGAUUGUAACGUUGGUCCAUCAAGAAUGGUCCAAAUACUAUCCCUGAUCCACAGCGGAGAUGGUAGUCUGAGUAGCAUGCCCUACAUACCAGCAGACGUCACAAACCUAAAGGCAAAGUACCAUAGAGAGAGCAGGUUGGCUGACAUAGAAGACACGAUAGCCUACUUCGAAGAGAAAGCAAAAGCAGAUACUAAUUUCUUCUACAGGAUAAGAUUGGACGAUGAGGACCGUGUCAGAAACAUGUAUUGGGUGGAUGGUGCUGCAAGAAGAGCCUACAAACAUUUUCCUGAUUGCAUUUCGUUCGACGUGACAUAUCUCAUGAAUAUGUACAAGAUGCCCUAUGCUCCAUUCAUAGGAAUAAAUAACCACAAUCAGUCAUUGCAGUUCGGUUGCGGACUCGUUCGGAACGAAGACAUGGAUGGUUACACUUGGCUGUUCAAAACCUUCUUGGAGUGCAUGGGUGGACUUGCUCCGAUGAACAUAAUAACAGACCAGGAUUUUAGCAUGCGUGCAGGCAUAGAGGAGGUCUUUCCGUUGGCAGUGCACAGGCACUGCAGGUGGCAUAUUAUUAAGAAGGCUGAGGAGACGCUAGGACCAUUCUUUGCUGACCGUCCAGAGCUACACAAGGCAUUCGAGUUGUGCGUGGACCAUAGCUUGACGGUGGAGGAGUUUGAACGGAGCUGGACGGCUAUGAUUGAAACAUACCAAACUAGUCAGCGCAGCGAGGGGUUCAAUGUUGUUUUGAAGCGGUACGUGAGCCCUGGCAACUCAUUGUUGCAGUUUGCCAAGCAAUACACAGCUUUGCAACAAAAAAUACUGGGAUCUGAGCUACAGCAAGAAGCAAACACCGCGCUCAAGCAGCUAAAUUGCUAA